GGCACUAUGGCCGAGUGGUUAAGGCGAAAGACUUGAAUCAUCUUUUGGGAUUCUCCCGCGUCGGUUCAAAUCCGGCUGGUGUCG
This 84-nucleotide transfer RNA is filed under the name Geotrichum candidum. RNAcentral's name for it is "transfer RNA-Ser (TGA)". It matches the Rfam family "tRNA". From Rfam's summary of the family: Transfer RNA (tRNA) molecules are approximately 80 nucleotides in length. The record is from RNAcentral. Lineage: Eukaryota; Fungi; Ascomycota; Dipodascomycetes; Dipodascales; Dipodascaceae.